CCUACGGGUGGCAGCAGUCGAGAAUCAUUCACAAUGGGGGAAACCCUGAUGGUGCGACGCCGCGUGGGGGAAUGCAGCUCUUCGGAUUGUAAACCUCUGUCAUGUGGGAGCAAAUUAAAAAGAGAGUACCACAAGAGGAAGAGACGGAUAACUCGGUGCCAGCAGCCGCGGUAAUACAGAGGUCUCAAGCGUUGUUCGGAAUCACUGGGCGUAAAGCGUGAGUAGGCUGUUUGGUAAGUCGGGUGUGAAAGGCGGCGGCUCAACCCGCGAACGGCACAUGAUACUGGGAGACUAGAGUACUGGAGGGGUGACCGGAAUUCUCGGUGUAGCGGUGAAAUGCGUAGAGAUCGAGAGGAACACUGGUGGCGAAGGCAGGUUCCUGGACAUUAACUGACGCUGAGGCACGAAAGCCAGGGGAGCAAACGGGAUUAGAUACCCCAGUAGUC
RNAcentral lists this ribosomal RNA (446 nucleotides) under uncultured bacterium. RNAcentral's name for it is "partial 16S ribosomal RNA". It matches the Rfam family "Bacterial small subunit ribosomal RNA", at positions 338 to 795 of the family's 1533-position model. The record is from RNAcentral.